Molecule: long non-coding RNA, 217 nt
Organism: Nematolebias whitei (Rio pearlfish)
Lineage: Eukaryota; Metazoa; Chordata; Actinopteri; Cyprinodontiformes; Rivulidae
Exons: 3
Source: RefSeq, a predicted model, not a curated record
GCUACCACCUGACCACAUUAUGGUCGCCUGGGUGGAGCUCACCUUCUCACCUGCAACUGGUCCGAGACUCCAUGCAUCAGAACCAUCUCUAACAUAGACAUCACCUCUGCCAGGGAGACACACUGUGGACUAUGCGUCGUGGGAGGUUCCUGACUGCUAGUUUGCCACUCUCCUCCCAGUGACAGUCCUCGGCAGCCCUUCUCUGAUAACGAGCCUG